Molecule: ribosomal RNA, 519 nt
Filed under: Odontogonus sp. 00004651
Lineage: Eukaryota; Metazoa; Arthropoda; Insecta; Hemiptera; Reduviidae
Description: partial 28S ribosomal RNA
Rfam family: Eukaryotic large subunit ribosomal RNA
Source: RNAcentral
AUGAAAGUAAAGAGUUGAGUUUAUGAUUAAAAAAAUUUUUUUUUUUUUCAUUUCUCUCUUAAGGGAAGAUGAAAAUUUAAUCAACAAUAUAUUUAUAUAUUGUUAAUAUAAAUUUUUCGCACUCCCAGGGCGCUUGUUUCACGCUUUGCGUGUCAAUGCGCACCUAGAGCGUACACGCUGAUACCCGAAAGAUGGUGAACUAUGCCUGGCCAGGACGAAGCCAGGGGAAACCCUGGUGGAGGUCCGCAGCGAUUCUGACGUGCAAAUCGAUCGUCGGAGCUGGGUAUAGGGGCGAAAGACCAAUCGAACCAUCUAGUAGCUGGUUCCCUCUGAAGUUUCCCUCAGGAUAGCUUGCGCUCGGUUGAGAAGAGUCUCAUCCGGUAGAGCGAAUGAUUAGAGGCAUUGGGGUCGAAACGACCUCAACCUAUUCUCAAACUCCAAAUAGAUGAGACCCCCGGCUUUCUUAAAAUUGAAGCCGUGGGAAUAGGAUCARAGUGCCAAGUGGGCCAAUUUUGGUAA